ACAUCAAUCGUCGUUGUUCAAUGAACUAAUUUAACUCUUGCUUCUCCACCUUCCCUCCCAAAUCGUUUGUGCUUCCACACACGUAUACAAGAGGGAGUCUCUGCCUCUCUUCGUUUUCAAUUUGACCAAGAUUAGGUUUAGUUCUUCCCCAAAUACACAAACAAUCACUCAAUUAGAAACAAGAUUAUCAUGUAAAACACCAAUUUCUAUUAGUAGAUUCCUCUUAAUCGAUUCAAUUUCGCUUUUUUGUGGCCCAUGAACAUUUUAGGGUUUCCCGCACACUUGACAUAUUGAAAAGAACACACACAUAGAUUCUAAGGGGCAUGAGGUUUGGAAGUGGUGAAUUUUCGUGAAUUCAGGUGUGGAGGGUAAGUGAGAAUUGAGAAGAUGACGGAUGCUCGGUUACAAUGGUUACAGAGCCGGAGGGUACGACGGAUGCGUGUUCGGAAGAUGGUGAUUUUGAGAGGGGGUUGGAGGAGUUUUGCCAAUUAUCAGGUUUAAGUUUUGCUCUUCUAUUCCAGCUGAUCAUAUUUAAAGGAGGGUAAGAUCUGAUUUGGUUAUUACAUCAUUGUCGUCACCGGGGAGAGCUGAUUUGGAGAAUAAGCGUUGUUUUGGUGACAUAAGAAGGUUCAAUGGUUUAUAGAUUUAGGGAUUAUGCCUUACCUUCUUCUACAGUAGAUGAUUUUUGACGUGUAACCACCAAUUCCAGCAGAAGCAAAGGUGUUGAACUGAUUGGCGACGAAUCAGAUUCUGGUCAAGACUAGGGUACUUCGUGCCUCGCAAUAACUCCGGCUACGAGCUUGGGCGCAACAGAGGUGACAGAGACGUUAGGGUCUUCCUAUGGGAUAAAUGGUGGUGGCCAGCUUACGGCUAUAAGGGCGGUGACCGGUGGUUCGAUUUUGGUGAUUUCAACUAUGAAUCAUGGUCUGUGGUUAAGUGCAUGGCUUAUUGAUUUGGGAUCACUUUUAUCCGUUCGAUUUUUUGAUUGCGGAGCUUUGGGAUUGAGAAGUAUUGUAACAAGCUUUGAUCAGUAAUGGAAAGCUUUUAUCACAUACUUUGCUAUUUCCAUCGUUUUUAGAUUGUUAUUAGUUACCAAGUACUUCGUGUUGCUCUUUGCUCCAACUGAAAAAACUGUCUCUUGUUAUUCAGAAAGUUACUGCACUAACGGGAAUUUUGGUCAUUGUUCAUUUCUUUAUUUUUUUUCCUUGGAUAAUAUUCUU
This 1220-nucleotide long non-coding RNA is filed under the name Helianthus annuus (common sunflower). Its description in RNAcentral is "hypothetical non coding rna". The record is from RNAcentral. Lineage: Eukaryota; Viridiplantae; Streptophyta; Magnoliopsida; Asterales; Asteraceae.